CCCUCUGGCCCCCACGCACCCUCCUACAAAGCCGAGGGUUAAGCUCGGGAAAAGAAGCCUUUAGGAAGAAGACUCCUCCCCGGAAAAGCCCGGCAGCUCCAAACUCCGAAACACGAGUGAAACUCAACUCCAGCUACCGCCCCUCCAGCUGCGGGUGGCCCCUCUUGCGGUCCGUCUGAGGCUAGGCGACUUAGCGCGUCGCCUGGCAAGACUCCAGUGGCCUUUUCUGGCCAGUUUGUGAUUGUAACUAGACGGACUCCAGCCGCCCCCUCCAGUGCUGGGGCGGGGGAGGAACGGCCAGGCCGAAGAGGCGGGAGAGAAGCCAGGGCCACCGUGGGGCCUGAUCUUUGCUCCACCUCUUAGGAGCUCACGACCAGGGUGGUGCCUUGCUUGGCACUGCCACUGGAUCCUCUGGCUUAUGAAGCCGUCCAGGACAUGAGGGAUGGGAAAGUCCUUAGUUCUCCUCCUGGAGUCAUACAGAGGGGUUUCCCCGAGGUCCCACGCCCGUCUCAGGAAGCCGGAAAUGCAAGAUGCUGGGGCGCUCGGCCCCAAGGGGCAGGGCGGAUACCCAGGCGAGGCCUAAAGGGCGGGACUCCACCGCCCCCUUCGGACAAUGCUGGGCUCCGCCAGCCAGAGGCGGCCAUGGCGCCAACCACACCUACCAGCAGGGGCCCCCGUGACCACUGAUGCGCCCUCCUAGCCCCAGGCUCCUGCGGGCUCCCCAGAGCACUGCAUUCCAAAGUGACUCCGAGACGCAGCAGACACAAUUCUGAGGCCCCCAGAUGCUUGCACAGGAAGCCAGACCACAGCACCCAGAAAUUUUCAUCACCCACCCUUCUCACCAUCAGGAACAGAAAAUGAUUGUGCUAGAGCCCUGCCUUUGUAAAAAUUGGCUACCUCCUGCAUCCUGCAUUUGAGGGAUUCUGGGAAUGGUCCACACCCCAGAAAAAUGGUGCAUCUUUAACUCAUCCCAGAGGAUGGUCAGCUGGUGGGGCAGCCCAUCAUUUUCAGGAAGAAACAGCCUGGGAAGAAAAACCACUCCACCUUUUUGAGAUCAGGGCCAAUGUAACAGGGGAGAUGAGGGAUAAACUUCACCAGAAGACUCCCCAGAAACCUCAGUGAGAAUACACAGUUCUGAUGAAUUCCCUCCAGAAGAAUAAUCCAAUGACCUCAGUGUUCCAACGGAGAUGAGGACCAACAGGAUGCUUGUGAAAAAAAUGACAAAUAGGCAGACCAAGCCAAAAUGCAAUUUAUUUAUUUUCUUCACUACUCCUAGUAAUUCGUUUUUAUUUGUAUCACUGGUGUGUGUGUGUGUUCAACUGACCCUACCACAGUGUUAAAUCAUACUCUUUUCUCUUAGUCUCAGUCCUUAAAAGGUAUGUUCAUAUAGCAAGUGCUCAAUACAUUUGGGGAUAUUUCUCCAACUUCACUUUCUAGAAUAGAUUGAAAUCUUCUUGACAGACACUUGUUUCCAGGCUACAUCAAAGGCUGCAACAAAUCAACAGAAAAAUAACAAAAGAAAACAGGCACAGUGGCUCACGCCUAUAAUCCCAGCACUUUGGUAGGCUGAGGCGGGUGGAUCCCCUGAGGUCAGGAGUUUGAGACCAGCCUGGGCAACAUGGUGAAACCCCGACUCUACUAAAAAUAUAAAAAUUUGCCAGGCAUGGUGGCAGGCACCUGUAAUCCCAGCUACUCAGGAGGCUGAGGCAGGAGAAUCACUUGAACUGGGGGGCAGAGGUUGCAGUGAGCCAAGAUCGUGCCACUGCACUUCAGCCUGGGCAAGAUAGUGAGACUGUCUCAAAAAAAGAAAAAAGAAAACCAGGCAGGUUGGGUGCAGUAGCUCAUGACUGUAAUCCCAGCAGUUUGUGAGGCUGAGGAGGGUGGCUUGCUUGAGUCCAGGAGUUCAAGUCCAGCUUGGGCAACAGAGUGAAACUCCGUCUCUACAAAAGUUACAAAAAAUUAGCCAGGUAUGGUGGGGCACACCUGUAGUCCCAGCUACUUGGGAGGCUUGAGGUGGGAGAAUCACCUGAGCCCAGGGAGGUUAAGGCUGCAGUGAGCUGUGAUCUCAUGCCACUGUCCUCCAGCUUGGGCGAUAGAGCAAGAGACCCUGUCUCAAAAAGAAAGCAAGAAAUAAAAGAAUAACAGGCAAAAGGCAAAAUAUAAUUGCAUAGAAAGGGAAAUAAAAAUAGCAAAGACAUUAAAAAAUGCUCAAUCUCACUAAUAGUUGGGAAAAAUGCAAAAAUGAGUCAUCAUACUGGCAAAAAAGUAUGAUAUUGUCAAGCACUGACAAGGAUAAAGGGAAAUACAGUCAUUGUUGCUUAACAACGGGGAAACAUCCUGAGAAAUACAUCGUUAGGUGAUUUCAUCAUUGUAUGAACAUCACAGAGUACAGCCUACUUAUAUGGUAUAGUUUAUAGGGUAGCAACUUGUACAGCAUGUUACUGUACUGAAUACUGUAGGCAACUGUAACACAGUGGUUGUCAGUCUAAACACAGAAAAGAUACAGUAAAAAUAUGGUGUAAAAGAUAAAAAUGGUAUACCUAUAUAGGGUACUUACCAUGAAUGGAGCUUAUAAGAUUGGAAGUUUCUCUGGGUGAGUCAGUGUGUGAGUGCUCAGUGAAUAUGAAGGCCUAGGAUAUUACUGUAGACAACUGUAGAUUUUACACUAUACACUUAAGCUACAUUAAAUUUAUUUAAACAUUUUUCUUCAAUAAAUUAACCUUAGUUCACUGUAAUUAACUUUUUGACUCAGUAAUAACACUUAACUAAAAACACAAACACACUCUACAGCUGUAUAAAAUAUUUUCUUAUAUUCUCAUUCUGUAAGCUUUUUCCUAAUAAAAUUUUUAAAAAUUGGCUGGGCAUGGUGACUCAUGCCUGUAAUCCCAACACUUUGGGAGGCUGAGGUAGGCAGAUUGUGAGGCCAGGAGUUUUGAGAUCAGCCUGACCAAUAUGAUGAAACCCCAUCUGUACUAAAAAAACACACACACACACACAAAUUAGCUGGGCUUGGUGGCACAGUGCCUGUAAUCCCAGCUACUCGGGAGGCUGAGGCAGAAGAAUUGCUUGAACCCAGGAGGUGGAGGUUGCAGCGAGCCAAGAUCACGCCACUGCACUCCAGCCUGGGCAAUAGAAUGAGACUCUGUCUCAAAAUAAAAUAAAAUAAUUUAAAAAUUUA
Non-coding RNA from Callithrix jacchus (white-tufted-ear marmoset), 3178 nucleotides. NCBI's taxonomy places the organism in Eukaryota, Metazoa, Chordata, Mammalia, Primates, Cebidae. The record is from RefSeq and is a predicted model, not a curated record.